UGAGGAAUAUUGGGCAAUGCCCGAAAGGGUGACCCAGCAACGCCGCGUGGAGGAUGAAGGUCGUAAGAUUGUAAACUCCUGUUAGAGGGGAAGAAUAACUAAGUUUGGAGCUUAGUAUGACUGUACCCUCAGAGAAAGCCCCGGCUAACUACGUGCCAGCAGCCGCGGUAAUACGUAGGGGGCAAGCGUUGUCCGGAUUUACUGGGUGUAAAGGGCGCGCAGGCGGAAUGGAAAGUCAGUGGUGAAAUCCUACAGCUUAACUGUAGAACUGCCUUUGAUACUUUCAUUCUUGAGUUCGGGAGAGNGAGACGGAAUUCCAGGUGUAGUGGUGAAAUACGUAGAUAUCUGGAAGAACACCAGUUGCGAAGGCGGUCUCUUGGUCCGAUACUGACGCUGAGGCGCGAAAGCGUGGGGAGCAAACA
This 422-nucleotide ribosomal RNA is filed under the name uncultured bacterium. RNAcentral's name for it is "bacterial SSU rRNA". It matches the Rfam family "Bacterial small subunit ribosomal RNA", at positions 355 to 774 of the family's 1533-position model. The record is from RNAcentral.